Molecule: unclassified non-coding RNA, 97 nt
Organism: Gorilla gorilla gorilla (western lowland gorilla)
Lineage: Eukaryota; Metazoa; Chordata; Mammalia; Primates; Hominidae
Rfam family: Y RNA
About the family: Y RNAs are components of the Ro ribonucleoprotein particle (Ro RNP), in association with Ro60 and La proteins. The Y RNAs and Ro60 and La proteins are well conserved, but the function of the Ro RNP is not known.
Source: Ensembl
GACUGGUCCGAGUGGUGUUUAUAACUAAUUGAUCACAACCAGUUACAGAUUUCUUUGUUCCUUCUCCAUUCUCACUGCUUCACUUGACUAGUCUUGA